This 549-nucleotide ribosomal RNA is filed under the name Brachynema germarii. RNAcentral describes it as "partial large subunit ribosomal RNA". It matches the Rfam family "Bacterial large subunit ribosomal RNA", at positions 1799 to 2618 of the family's 2925-position model. The record is from RNAcentral. Lineage: Eukaryota; Metazoa; Arthropoda; Insecta; Hemiptera; Pentatomidae.
CCUUUUUUUUUCAAAACAUGUCCUGAUGAUUUUAAUUUAUUAGGUCUAGCCUGCUCAAUGAUUAUUUAAAUAGCCGCAGUAUUUUGACUGUGCGAAGGUAGCAUAAUAACUUGUCUUUUAAUUGAAGGCUUGAAUGAAUGGCUGGAUGAGGGAGUAGCUUUCUUUAUAUUAUAAUAUAAAAUUUAAUAUUUAAGUUAAAAAGCUUAAAUAAUUUAGUGGGACGAGAAGACCCUAUAGAAUUUUAUUUUUAAUUUUAUUUUAGUUUUUAGGUUAAUGGAAAUUUUAGAUAAAGUUGAAAAUUUUGUUGGGGUGACAGUGAGAUUUAUAUAACUCUCAUAUUUAAUUUAUUAUUAAUUUAUAUAUUUUGAAUCCUAUAUUAUGGAAAUUAGAUUAAAUUACCUUAGGGAUAACAGCGUAAUUCUUUUGGAGAGUUCUUAUCGAUGAAAGGGUUUGCGACCUCGAUGUUGGAUUAAAAUUAGAUUUAAGUGCAGAAGCUUAAUUUCUAGGUCUGUUCGACCUUUAAAAUUUUACAUGAUUGGUUUUAAAACC